UGACGCUGGCGGNGGCCUAANACAUGCAAGUCGAGCGGUAGCACAGAGAGCUUGCUCUCGGGUGACGAGCGGCGGACGGGUGAGUAAUGUCUGGGAAACUGCCUGAUGGAGGGGGAUAACUACUGGAAACGGUAGCUAAUACCGCAUAACGUCGCAAGACCAAAGUGGGGGACCUUCGGGCCUCAUGCCAUCAGAUGUGCCCAGAUGGGAUUAGCUAGUAGGUGGGGUAACGGCUCACCUAGGCGACGAUCCCUAGCUGGUCUGAGAGGAUGACCAGCCACACUGGAACUGAGACACGGUCCAGACUCCUACGGGAGGCAGCAGUGGGGAAUAUUGCACAAUGGGCGCAAGCCUGAUGCAGCCAUGCCGCGUGUGUGAAGAAGGCCUUCGGGUUGUAAAGCACUUUCAGCGGGGAGGAAGGCGAUAAGGUUAAUAACCUUGUCGAUUGACGUUACCCGCAGAAGAAGCACCGGCUAACUCCGUGCCAGCAGCCGCGGUAAUACGGAGGGGUGCAAGCGUUAAUCGGAAUUACUGGGCGUAAAGCGCACGCAGGCGGUCUGUCAAGUCGGAUGUGAAAUCCCCGGGCUCAACCUGGGAACUGCAUUCGAAACUGGCAGGCUAGAGUCUUGUAGAGGGGGGGUAGAAUUCCAGGUGUAGCGGUGAAAUGCGUAGAGAUCUGGAGGAAUACCGGUGGCGAAGGCGGCCCCCUGGACAAAGACUGACGCUCAGGUGCGAAAGCGUGGGGAGCAAACAGGAUUAGAUACCCUGGUAGUCCACGCCGUAAACGAUGUCGAUUUGGAGGUUGUGCCCUUGAGGCGUGGCUUCCGGAGCUAACGCGUUAAAUCGACCGCCUGGGGGAGUACGGCCGCAAGGUUAAAACUCAAAUGAAUUGACGGGGGCCCGCACAAGCGGUGGAGCAUGUGGUUUAAUUCGAUGCAACGCGAAGAACCUUACCURGUCUUGACAUCCACAGAACUUUCCAGAGAUGGNUUGGUGCCUUCGGGAACUGUGAGACAGGUGCUGCAUGGCUGUCGUCAGCUCGUGUUGUGAAAUGUUGGGUUAAGUCCCGCAACGAGCGCAACCCUUAUCCUUUGUUGCCAGCGGUCCGGCCGGGAACUCAAAGGAGACUGCCAGUGAUAAACUGGAGGAAGGUGGGGAUGACGUCAAGUCAUCAUGGCCCUUACGANCAGGGCUACACACGUGCUACAAUGGCAUAUACAAAGAGAAGCGACCUCGCGAGAGCAAGCGGACCUCAUAAAGUAUGUCGUAGUCCGGAUUGGAGUCUGCAACUCGACUCCAUGAAGUCGGAAUCGCUAGUAAUCGURGAUCAGAAUGCYACGGUGAAUACGUUCCCGGGCCUUGUACACACCGCCCGUCACACCAUGGGAGUGGGUUGCAAAAGAAGUAGGUAGCUUAACCUUCGGGAGGGCGCUUACCUACUUUGUGAUCANAACYGG
This 1457-nucleotide ribosomal RNA is filed under the name bacterium AD229/2(2012). RNAcentral's name for it is "bacterial SSU rRNA". It matches the Rfam family "Bacterial small subunit ribosomal RNA". The record is from RNAcentral.